UGGGGAAUUGUUCGCAAUGGGCGCAAGCCUGACGACGCAACGCCGCGUGGAGGAUGAAGGUCUUCGGAUUGUAAACUCCUGUUGCCCGGGACGAAAUGCUUCAACCUAAUACGUUGAAGGUUGACGGUACCGGGUGAGGAAGCCCCGGCUAACUCCGUGCCAGCAGCCGCGGUAAUACAGAGGGGGCAAGCGUUGUUCGGAAUUACUGGGCGUAAAGGGCGCGUAGGCGGCCACCUAAGUCAGACGUGAAAUCCCUCGGCUCAACCGGGGAACUGCGUCUGAUACUGGGUGGCUUGAAUUCGGGAGAGGGAUGCGGAAUUCCAGGUGUAGCGGUGAAAUGCGUAGAUAUCUGGAGGAACACCGGUGGCGAAGGCGGCAUCCUGGACCGAGAUUGACGCUGAGGCGCGAAAGCCAGGGGAGCAAA
RNAcentral lists this ribosomal RNA (424 nucleotides) under uncultured bacterium. Its description in RNAcentral is "bacterial SSU rRNA". It matches the Rfam family "Bacterial small subunit ribosomal RNA", at positions 355 to 772 of the family's 1533-position model. The record is from RNAcentral.